AUUGAACGCUGGCGGCAGGCCUAACACAUGCAAGUCGAGCGGAAACGAGUUAUCUGAACCUUCGGGGAACGGUAACGGCGUCGAGCGGCGGACGGGUGAGUAAUGCCUAGGAAAUUGCCCUGAUGUGGGGGAUAACCAUUGGAAACGAUGGCUAAUACCGCAUAAUGCCUACGGGCCAAAGAGGGGGACCUUCGGGCCUCUCGCGUCAGGAUAUGCCUAGGUGGGAUUAGCUAGUUGGUGAGGUAAUGGCUCACCAAGGCGACGAUCCCUAGCUGGUCUGAGAGGAUGAUCAGCCACACUGGAACUGAGACACGGUCCAGACUCCUACGGGAGGCAGCAGUGGGGAAUAUUGCACAAUGGGCGCAAGCCUGAUGCAGCCAUGCCGCGUGUGUGAAGAAGGCCUUCGGGUUGUAAAACUCUUUCAGUAGGGAUGAUAAUGACGGUACCUACAGAAGAAGCACCGGCUAACUCCGUGCCAGCAGCCGCGGUAA
This 491-nucleotide ribosomal RNA is filed under the name uncultured bacterium. RNAcentral describes it as "bacterial SSU rRNA". It matches the Rfam family "Bacterial small subunit ribosomal RNA", at positions 30 to 523 of the family's 1533-position model. The record is from RNAcentral.